UCGGGAAUUUUGGACAAUGGGCGCAAGCCUGAUCCAGCCAUGCCGCGUGUGGGAAGAAGGCCUUCGGGUUGUAAACCACUUUUGUCAGGGAAGAAACGGCCUAAUCUAAUACAUUGGGUUAAUGACGGUACUAUUUAUAAGGUCCGGCUAACUACGUGCCAGCAGCCGCGGUAAUACGUAGGGACCAAGCGUUGUUCGGAUUUACUGGGCGUAAAGGGCGCGUAGGCGGCAAUUCAAGUCAUCUGUGAAAUCUCCGGGCUUAACUCGGAACGGUCAGAUGAUACUGCUUUGCUAGAGUGCAGAAGGGGCAAUCGGAAUUCUUGGUGUAGCGGUGAAAUGCGUAGAUAUCAAGAGGAACACCUGAGGUGAAGACGGUUGCUGGGCUGACACUGACGCUGAGGCGCGAAAGCCAGGGGAGCAAACGGGAUUAGAUACCCCCGUAGUCCCUGAGCGGGCUGGCAAGGCGCAU
Molecule: ribosomal RNA, 469 nt
Filed under: uncultured bacterium
Lineage: Bacteria
Description: bacterial SSU rRNA
Rfam family: Bacterial small subunit ribosomal RNA
Source: RNAcentral